CGAACUCCUGACCUCAGGUGAUCCACCCGCCUCGGCCUCUGAAAGAUCUGGGAUUACAGGCAUGAGCCACCACACCCGUCAUUUUGAAAUUCUAUUCCCGUGUUUGUUCCUGUCUCUGCCACUAGAAAGUAAGUUCCAGGAGGGCUCAUCUCAUUCGUGGUUAUAUCCUCAGAUCCUAAAACAGAGCCUGGCACUCAGUAGGUCUCAAUAUCUUUUGAAUGAAUGAAUGACGUGCUUUGAGCCAAUGGCUAAGGGCUGUGGGUCUUGCCCUGCAAUGGGGUCUGAACAAGUCAUGGACCGUCUGGGAUCUUCCUCCGAAGACAGCGUCUGGGCUGAGGUCAGCUGCAGUGAAGAACAGUGCUCCUAGAAUAAGAGUCUAGACAGGGGAGGGGCUCAGAGAGCCCAGACUGGAUCUGCCUGAGAAGAACAGAGUUCAAGGGUCUCAGAGGACAGCCCACUUAUGCUAGCAUCUUGCAGAAAGGGCAGGACGGUGGGCCUCAGCUCUAUUUUCUAUUGUUGCAUAACACGCUGUCCCAAAACUUAGUGGCUUAAAAUGAUUUUACCAUAUCUCAUGCUUUUGUGGCAGGAAUUCAUUCAGGGACUGCUGGGCAGGGUGAUUCUUCUGCCCCAUGUGGCACUGACUGAGGUCACCUGAUGGCACUCGGCUGGCAGAUGGGCUGGUCUGGAGGACCUGGAUAGCCUCCUUCGUGAGUUGAGUGGUUUGGCAAGCCAGCUGCAAGGCUGGGCUCAGUGGGGCCUGUCUCCUGGAGCACCCAUGCCUGGCCUCUCCUGCACAACAGCUCAGGGCUCCUGAGGCUGUCAGAAGACCAAGGCAGACACUGCAAGGCUGCUUUGACCUGGCCUUGGGAGUCACAUAGCACCAUUUCCAUCACACCUUAUUGGCUACAGACCCAGUGAAAAGAAUGGUGUCCUCUCCUGACAUUGUCUCUCAGGGUCUGGAAGCUUUUCCUUCAAUCUUCGAGCUCCUCACCUAUCUGAACAUGCCAUUGCCUGCAACCAAGCUUGAGAACCAACAAACAGUGGCUGCGGGUUCUGGAAACACGCAGAGUGAUAGUUCAGAGUAAUGUUGAUAGUACAUUUUAUUUAGCCCAAUAUAUAAAAAAUAUUAUUUCAACAUGUAAUCAAUAGAAAAAUGAUGUGAUAUUUUACAUUCUUUUUAAAAAAUAUUAAGUCUUUGAAACCAGUGUGUUCUUACACUUACAGCCCAUCUGAAUUUGGCCCAACCACACUCCAGUGCUCCAAAGCCAUAGAUGGCCAGGGGCAUCCACACUGGACAGCACAGGGCUAGAGGCACUGGGUGGGCCCUUCUCUAUUUCAAGCUCAGUGGUCUGGAUGUGGGCAGAAAGAGGAGUCUGGAUCUGGGUUAAAGCUACAAGAACUCCCUCCCCAGGGUUAACACCAAUAUUUUCUGUAACACUCCCCUGCCGGUAUUGAAGAGAACAGAAAGAAGGGCAAAGGAAAGAAAAUAAACAAUUUAUUUUUCUUUUAUUGUUAUUUUUAGAGACAGAGUUUGGCUCUGUUGCCCAGGCUGGAGUGCAGUGGCACAGUCAUGGCUCAUUGCAACCUUGACCCCUGAGCUCAAGCAAUCCUUCUGCCUCAGCCUCCUGAGUAGCUGGGACUUACAGGCGUGAGCCACCAUGCCUGGCUAAUUUUUAUUUUUUAUUUUUGUAGCGAUGGAGGUUCACUGUGUUGCCCAGACUGGUCUCAAACUCCUGGGUUCAAUCAAUCCUCCCACCUCAGCCUCCUAAAGUGCUGGGAUUACAGGCUUGAGCCACCGUGACUGGCCCUUAUUUUUCUUUAUAUCCACAGCAUAUUAGUAAUAAUACACCAUUGUACACAACCUUGCCUCUCCUAAUAGAAAGCACGUUCUUUCUUUAUAGAAAUAAAAGAAAAAAACCCAAAUCCCAAGGCUCUGACUGAGGUCCAGCAAGGAUUAAGGUCAUCAGUUGGGGAACACAUGCAGAGGCAACAACAGCCACCGACUGAGUUGACUAUAUUCUCCAUGGGGCUGAGUAUGGACAAGGCGUAUUUCCCGGACGCCAUGGGCAGGGGGUCUCCAUCAAUGACGUGGAUAUUCAACACUACAGGGCCUGGCUCCCUGCUUGCGGAGGACUCAUGGGUCACCCUGAAUGGCCCAAACUCUCUGAUACCUGGCAGAGUGGUAAGGUAUUUGAAACAUCUAUUAGGAACAGAAAUAUUUAUAGUUAGUCAUUAUUUUCUUAAACCUUCUUGGUGGGUUCAGAAACAAGUGACCAUUUUGUGUAAAUUCAUUUAUUUUGGAGCAAUGAGAACACAUGGACAUAGGGAGGGGAACAUCACAC
Molecule: long non-coding RNA, 2342 nt
Filed under: Homo sapiens (human)
Lineage: Eukaryota; Metazoa; Chordata; Mammalia; Primates; Hominidae
Description: HSALNT0248848
Source: RNAcentral